UACGUAGGGGGCAAGCGUUGUCCGGAAUGACUGGGCGUAAAGCGCGCGCAGGCGGUUUCUUGCGUCUGAGGUGAAAGUUCAGGGCUCAACCCUGAGAUUGCCUUGGAAACGGGGGAACUUGAGGGUCGGAGAGGUCAGGGGAAUUCCACGUGUAGCGGUGAAAUGCGUAGAUAUGUGGAGGAAUACCAGUGGCGAAGGCGCCUGACUGGACGAAACCUGACGCUGAGGCGCGAAGGCGUGGGGAGCAAACAGG
RNAcentral lists this ribosomal RNA (253 nucleotides) under uncultured bacterium. Its description in RNAcentral is "partial 16S ribosomal RNA". It matches the Rfam family "Bacterial small subunit ribosomal RNA", at positions 524 to 776 of the family's 1533-position model. The record is from RNAcentral.